CCUAACACAUGCAAGUCGAGCGCGAAAGGAGCAAUCCGAGUAGAGCGGCGCACGGGUGCGUAACACGUGGAUAAUCUGCCCUUGAAUUCGGGAUAACCUUCCGAAAGGUUGGCUAAUACUGGGGUAAGCUCACGGUGACUUCGGUCGCUGUGGGAAAAGUAGACCUCUGUUUACAAGUUUACGUUUGAGGAUGAGUCCGCGGCCCAUCAGCUAGUUGGCGGGGUAAUGGCCCACCAAGGCUACGACGGGUAGCUGGUCUGAGAGGACGAUCAGCCACACUGGAACUGAGACACGGUCCAGACUCCUACGGGAGGCAGCAGUGGGGAAUUUUCCACAAUGGGCGAAAGCCUGAUGGAGCAACGCCGCGUGUGUGAUGAAGGUCUUCGGAUCGUAAAGCACUUUCGACCGGGACGAAAAACCUCUGGCUAACAUCCAGGGGCCUGACGGUACCGGGAGAAGAAGCACCGGCUAACUCUGUGCCAGCAGCCGCGGUAAUACAGAGGGUGCAAGCGUUGUUCGGAAUUAUUGGGCGU
RNAcentral lists this ribosomal RNA (533 nucleotides) under uncultured bacterium. RNAcentral's name for it is "bacterial SSU rRNA". It matches the Rfam family "Bacterial small subunit ribosomal RNA", at positions 47 to 561 of the family's 1533-position model. The record is from RNAcentral.